GGACGAACGCUGGCGGCGUGCUUAACACAUGCAAGUCGAGCGAUGAAGCUUCUCGGAAGUGGAUUAGCGGCGGACGGGUGAGUAACACGUGGGUAACCUGCCUCAUAGAGGGGAAUAGCCUUUCGAAAGGAAGAUUAAUACCGCAUAAGAUUGUAAUGUCGCAUGACAUGGCAAUUAAAGGAGUAAUCCGCUAUGAGAUGGACCCGCGUCGCAUUAGCUAGUUGGUGAGGUAACGGCUCACCAAGGCGACGAUGCGUAGCCGACCUGAGAGGGUGAUCGGCCACAUUGGGACUGAGACACGGCCCAGACUCCUACGGGAGGCAGCAGUGGGGAAUAUUGCACAAUGGGGGAAACCCUGAUGCAAGCAACGCCGCGUGAGUGAUGACGGUCUUCGGAUUGUAAAGCUCUGUCUUUAGGGACGAUAAUGACGGUACCUAAGGAGGAAGCCACGGCUAACUACGUGCCAGCCGCUGC
RNAcentral lists this ribosomal RNA (474 nucleotides) under uncultured bacterium. RNAcentral's name for it is "bacterial SSU rRNA". It matches the Rfam family "Bacterial small subunit ribosomal RNA", at positions 27 to 518 of the family's 1533-position model. The record is from RNAcentral.